AGCCCCUAGCGCAGACGGCGGAGAGCGGAGAGGGAGCGCGCCUUGGCUUGCUGGCCUUGGCUGCGGCUCCUCGGGAGAGCUGGGGCGCCCACGAGAGGAUCCCUCACCUGGGUCUCUCCUCAGGGAUGACAUCAUACGUCCACCUCCUUGUCUUCAAGGACCACCUCCUCUCCAUGCCGAGCUGCUACCAAGGGGCCUGCUGCCCAUCUACGCCUUAUGAGGGCACUAGGAGCACGGAUUCCUGCAUCCCACCAGCAUACAAAGCAGCCACCGACUGACCCCCAGGACCAGGAUGGCAAAGGAUGAAGAGGACCGGAACUGACCAGCCAGCUGUCCCUCUUGCCUAAAGACUUAAACCAAUGCCCUAGUGAGGGGGCAUUGGGCAUUAAGCCUUGACCUUUGCUAUGCUCAUGCUGUGACUCUGAGUACUUUCCUAUAAGUCUUUGCUUGUGUUUACCUGCUAGCAAACUGGAGUGUUUCCCUCCCCAAGGGGGUGUCAGUCUUUGUUGACUGACUCUGUCAUCACCCUUACGAUGUCUUGAAUGGAAGGAUCCCUUUGGGAACUUCUCAGGAGGGGGACCUGGGCCAAGGGCUUGACCAGCAUCCUGCUGGCAACUCCAAGGCCCUGGGUGGGCUUCCGGAAUGAGCAUGUUACUGAAUCACCAAAAGCAUGCCCCACCUGUCUGGAGAUCUUUCUGUCCUUUUCUGGGGAAUGGGGUCGAUGGGAGCAACCUCCUAGGGUUGUUGUGAGAAUUAAAUGAGCUAAAAGAGACCUCAGGCAGGAUCUGGCAUAGAGGAGGUGAUCAGCAAAUGUUUGUUGAAAAGGUUUGGCAGGUCAGUCCCUUCCCACCCCUCUUGCUUGUCUUACUCAUCUUAUUUAUUCUCCAACAGCACUCCAGGCAGCCCUUGUCCACGGGCUCUCCUUGCAUCAGCCAAGCUUCUUGAAAGGCCUGUCUACACUUGCUGUCUUCCUUCCUCACCUCCAAUUUCCUCUUCAACCCACUGCUUCCUGACUCGCUCUACUCCGUGGAGGGGCUCUCACAAAGGUAAAGACUUUUCUGUAGCUUAAUCCUUGUCAUGUUUUCGGCUCAUGGACACAACGACACAUUUUCAUGCCUUCUCUCACAGGGCUCUGCGGCUCCGGUUCACUUCUGUGUCCUCACGCUCCCCUUCACAGAGACGCCUGCUCCCCCUUCUCUCAUUCUUAGCGUCCCCGAGGAACUUGCAUACCCAGGUCUCUCGACUUCUGGACCUGCUUCUUACCAUGCUGUCUUAAGCAGUCAGGAGUCGCUGACCUGGGUUUGAAUCCUAGUUAAAUUACUUAGUGCUGAGACCUUGGGAUAGGUAAACUUUUCCAAGCCAGGUUUAUCUCAGUUUCAAAAUAGGGUUAAUCAUCUUUAUCUGGCAGGUCAGGUGGGAUGUCUCACAGGUAAGCACCAGAUGCUAUUUGAAGGGCUUGAAGCAAAGUCAAUAAAGCAUUCAUGAGAAAAAUACAACUGGAGGCACCGCUAGAUUUUCGUAUACAUCAGGUUCCCAUGGGGAGGACUAAAGAGAAGAAAGAAGUGGAAAGGGAGGGGCGUGGAGGAGAGACAGGAGAAGAGAAUAACUAAACAAAGGCAUUAAAGACACAAAACAAGGAGGAAAGGGAGACUUGGAAAAUAUUAAAAGCCAAAAACACAUCCAAAGACGGUUUCCCCUUACGUUAGGUUGGCCUAAAAGAAAGCAAACGGGAAGAAGGGUUUAAAUUGAUUAUCCCAAUGACAAAUCCCAGGAAGCUUUCACAUCAAAUCACCCUAUUUUGGGUUUUUAACUCCUUCCAUUGAGUUUAACCUCUUUACCUCCCACAUCCUGGUAAAAGCUGCCCCCUCCCCACCGCCCCCUUCACUGGUGAUUAAAUCCUGAAGGUACACGAAGUAUUUCAGUGAAUGAAUGGUAACAGAAGAGGCCUCCCCUCCCCCUUACCCCGGCGGUGUUUCUCAGUUUUAUUCCACUUUCCGUCCUUUUCCCUUAAUGAACACAGGGCUAAUCUUGGGCCUUGUCGAAGGAAGAGGCUGCAGACGUUAAUGAGGUUAGCUGCUGGAUUCCAAUAUUCGUCGCAUAAGGAGCCUUCUUUGUCUGCGAAGGAAAAACACACUGAUUAUCAUAAUGAGGUGAACUGGCCACGCCGGGCCGGGGCGAUGUGGCUUCUUAAGCCACACUUCUAAUUUUGGUGAUGGAGUCGACGUUUCUUUUGCUCCUCAUUUAAGUCUUUGCCUCUGUCCCAGUGCGAAGUCCAUUCAGUGGGGUUGAAAGUUGCAGGCAGCUUUGAGAAGGGGGGCUUUGGACAGGGUUGCAUUGUAGAAAAUGGCUUUGUUCCAUCCUUUGCGCAGAGGGAACUGGCCAGAGCAUUCGUUCCCUCUCUCCAAGAGCUGAGGACCCGGGGGCCACUGGUGAUCAGUUCCCAACUCUAGCUCUCCUCUGACUUGUCUCAGGACCCACUGAGGACAUCCCAAACUCACUCAAGAUUAACAAGUGGUAGGAAAGUAGUAACUCCUAGGCAUGGCCCUAGGGGAGUGACUGCAAAGUGAGUACGCGUGGAAUGCCUAGCCAGGUGAAGAAGUGAAUAUAUGUUGGCAUCCCAGAGGGCCCCCCAUAAGAGGGCAUAGUUUGGGGUUCAGAUUUGACUCCAGCAGACUGUUGAAACUGGGACACAGGAGGCUAGUGAUUAGUCAGGAUCAAUCAGUGGAGAGGAGAUUAAAACUCACAUCUGGGAAUGUGGCAUCAGAACUUGUAGUUCUUUUUUUUUUUUUUUUGAAACAGAGUCUGACUUUGUCGCCCAGGCUGGAGUGCAGUGGCGUGAUCUCAGCUCAUGGCAACCUCUGCCUCCCAGGUUCAAGCAAUUCUCCCACCUCAGCCUCCUGAGUAGCUGGGAUUACAGGUGCCCGCCACCACAGCUGGCUAAUGUUUGUAUUUUCAGUAGAGACGGGGCUUCACCAUGUUGGUCAGGCUGGUCUCGAACUCCUGACCUCGUGAUCCACCUGCCUCGGCCUCCCAGAGUGCUGGGGUUACAGGUGUGAACCCCCGCGCCCGGCCUGUAGUAGUUCUUCUUUUGCCCCUUAAUAUCCUCACCCACAUGUCCUGUACCCUAACUGAGCCCUCAUCCUCUUUUUGUUCUGAUCUUUGAGCUCCCUAGAGCCCAUAAUUCUUUAGAGCAGGUAGGUCCUGAGUCUGAAACAUGCCCUUAUUUGUCCCAAGCUCUGGACAUUUCUCACCCCAAGGCAGAUCAAUCAUGAUUAGAUCACUCCAAUUAAACUUAGGCUCCAGUCGGACCUUUAGCCAAAUGGAAAAAAACUAGGGGAUAAGGCGGGUAGUUGGAGCAAGAAAAUGUUAUUGGUUGAAACCUUAUGGGGCCUUCCUUCCUUGGUGAGUCUGUUGGCUAAUGGUUCUCCGACAUCGUGAAUUAGAAAUGGAUACUGUUUCCAAGUUAGCAAAACCAACUCUACCCCAGUGCCCCACGAGAAAGAACGUGGAAGGAUCUUCCAUUGGCAGGUUGGGGCAGAAGCCUGAGGCAAUCUUUCAUCCCCUUUUGCCAAGGUGAGACUUUCCCAGUGACCGUGAUGUAGUUGGCCACUCUGUCUAGGGGAGUGUUCAGAUUACGGGUGGACUGGGGUAUAGACCUCUGAAGCUGAGAUCACACGAAAACCUGGCCUCCCCUGCCAUGUAGCUGUUGGAGAGUAGAAAAAUAGAGCAUUCCUGAUUCUAAAUGGGAAGACUUUCUUCAACAGUAACGAAGAAUCGAUGGCACCCUCCUCACCCUCAGAUACACGGCAAUCAUUAACAUACAGGCCCCAAAGCCACUGUCAGUACUGCAGUAGCUCCUGUGGACAGUCAAAAGCCUGGAGAGGGUGUGGAAGAGAAAUCAGUUAGCCCUGGGCAGGUUCUCUGGGGUUUUGUGCCCAAGGCUCCUGUAGCCUUAACAAACUUUUAAAAGUUAACUCCCCACAUCCCCAUCCUGCUUGGGUUUCUGGACUUUUCUGAGGCACUGGCAGAGGGAUCUCAUUGCUUCCUUGAGUGUAGGGGCAGCCCCUUUAACCUGGCUCCUUGAGUCACUGCUUUUUCUGCAUCUGUUGCCUUCUUCCUCGCCUGUCCUCUCUCUCAAUGUCUCCCUCUCUUUGUCCCUCCCCAAUUCCUGACCUGGCCCUCCUGGGGUGCCCUUGGCCAGCCCCGUGCUUCCUCAGGGUGUCCCAGCACCAGCCUGGCACAGAGUGGGGCUCAGUUAGAGUAUGUGGGAUGUAGGGUUUUGCCAGGUGAGUGGAUGGAAGGACUCGACCACCACAGCUGAGCCCCCAGGUGGGCCACGCGAAGAGUUCUAGGUACAAAGGCUGGAGGGUGGAAUUCAUUUUUGAGAGGGGUGUGAGCAGUUUCCGACCCCGGCCCCACUUGAACGGGGGCCUUGCUGGUCGCGUCCUUGCAUUCACCUGCGCGGCCAUCCAUCAUCCAACAGUUGAUCCUAACUGAGCACAUCCACAGCCCUGGCUCUGGCCUGGGCACCUGCCACCGUAGUCCAUCCCUUGAUGGCCUCUGUGUCCCCAGGAGGGCGGGCCGGGGGGUUGCCCCAGGGGCUGGAGCAGUGGACUCUGGCUCCGUAGAGGUCAGGCUGGAGGGUGUGAGGGCAGAUUCAAGCUAUCCCCAGGGCUCUGCUCUGGUCGGAGCCAGCACCUUCUCCCUCUCUGCCUUCUCUGCCCCAUCCCUGAUGCUGAGCUGUUCUGGACCCCGGCCCUGAGUCUCUCAGGACCAAAGUGGGCAUGGGAACAGCUGUAGUGUGUGCCCCCGGGCUUUGGCCACAGGUCUCCCUCUCGAGGUGUGGUUGUGACUGCGACCCUUCCCUUGCCAUGAUGCCUUCCUCCCCCGGGGCUUGGUCCAAGCUCCUUAACCCUCUAGUAGCUGCUGGGGCCCGUGUCCCAUGCGGAGGACCAGCAGGGGAAACCUCCAGGGAGCAUCUGCAGGCUCUGCCUCUGCCCAGCUGCUGACUUGGCUCUCCCUGGUGGCUCUCCAACGGCCAGGUUCCUCACCCACCCGGCACUCCGCUUGCUCUGUCUCUUGAGGUGGGCCUGACCCACCUCCCCUUCUCUGCCUCAAUCCCUGGGCUCCAGGGCUCAGCUCCACAGCCCUCUGCCUAGCAGUCUGGUUCUCCCCGCCAACCCCAUACCUGUGGUCACCUGGCCUUCCUGACGUCUGAGUAUCACUGCCCUGACCCAGGAGCCACUCCCACUCCAGCUGCCUGUUUCCAGCAGGUUCCCAGUGCCCCCGACAAGCCCCUGCUGGUGUCUCCAUCUCCUGCCAAGCAUCCUCCAAUGCCUCCUCCUGUGGGCCUGGCCUCCGGGCUAUGGACAGACUCCUCUCCCUUCCCAGAGACCCCUCGUGAUCGUGCCCUGGUGGGUGUUGCCCCUGCCUGCCUUUGUCUCCGCCAUGGCCCUGAGAGUCCUGGGCUCUGCCCUGCCUGGUCCCUUGCUCCCCACUCGGUUCUGGGUUUGCGGCUGCCUCUAACCCAACCCGUUGCUUCUUUGCACCUUUUCCUGUCAUUGGGCAUCCCCCACUAGUCACCCCACUCCACUGAAAAACAAAAAACUGCAGGCACGUGGGCCGUGUCCCGGCUGGGUUGGCUGAAGAACUGCUGAUGGAAGCGGCGGAAGAGGCCCCGAUGGGGCCCACCACCCUGGACCCAAGUCUUCUUCCUGGCGGGCCUCUCGUCUCCUUCGUGGUUUGGGCCGAAGCCAUCACCUGGAUUCCUACGUGGGAAGGGACCUCGGACGUGGGACCCCAGCCCCCCUCCAGCUCGAAAUCCCUCCACAGCCACGGGGACGCCCUGCACCUAUUCCCACGGGACAGGCUGGACCCAGAGACUCUGGACCCGGGGCCUCCCCUUGAGUAGAGACCCGCCCUCUGACUGAUGGACGCCGCUGACCUGGGGUCAGACCCGCGGGCUGGACCCCUGCCCACCCCACAGGAACCCCGAGGCCUAGGGGAGCUGUUGAGCCUUCGGUGUCUGCAUGUGGGAAGUGGGCUUGUUCACCUACCUCACAGGGCUGUUGUGAGGGGCGCUGUGAUACGGUUGCAAAGCACGGGCUUGGCGCACUCCACUGUGCUCUCAAUAAAUGUGUUUCCUGUCUUA
Long non-coding RNA from Rhinopithecus roxellana (golden snub-nosed monkey), 6151 nucleotides. RefSeq lists it as uncharacterized. The transcript is spliced from 7 exons. The record is from RefSeq and is a predicted model, not a curated record. NCBI's taxonomy places the organism in Eukaryota, Metazoa, Chordata, Mammalia, Primates, Cercopithecidae.